This 275-nucleotide ribosomal RNA is filed under the name uncultured bacterium. Its description in RNAcentral is "partial 16S ribosomal RNA". It matches the Rfam family "Bacterial small subunit ribosomal RNA", at positions 338 to 606 of the family's 1533-position model. The record is from RNAcentral.
CCUACGGGUGGCUGCAGUCGAGAAUUUUUCUCAAUGGGCGCAAGCCUGAAGGAGCGACGCCGCGUGGGGGAUGAAGGGUUUCGAUCCGUAAACCCCUGUCAUUUGUGAACAAAGGUCAUUCGCUAACACCGGGUGGCUUGAUAGUAAUGAAAGAGGAAGGGACGGCUAACUCUGUGCCAGCAGCCGCGGUAAUACAGAGGUCCCGAGCGUUGUUCGGAUUCACUGGGCGUAAAGGGUGCGCAGGUGGCUUGGCAAGUCGGAUGUGAAAGCUCCGG